GCGGAGAGCCGGCGGAGAUGGCAAAGACCGACGCGAAGGACGCUUGGAGUUGGAAAGGGCACCGAUGGAGUGACUGAGUGGCUAAGCUCUCAGGCGGAAGAAAGGCGUCGACCCUCAGGCGAAGUGAAGCCCCUGGAGGAAAGGCGGGGGCUUAAAUAAGCAACGGAGCCUGGCGCAGUUAUGGUGGCAGGUGUCCCUAGGCCAACCAGUGCCCACCACGUG
Molecule: long non-coding RNA, 222 nt
Filed under: Elaeis guineensis (African oil palm)
Lineage: Eukaryota; Viridiplantae; Streptophyta; Magnoliopsida; Arecales; Arecaceae
Description: long non-coding RNA (EGUI_LNC065147)
Source: RNAcentral